AAGCCGGAUGUUUUAUUUUGUGUCUGUGCCCGACUUCCUUUCCAGCACGGGUUAAUCUGUGCUGAAUUUAUCCGCCAUGCUCCGGCGUCCAGAAAAAAUAGAACUCUUGUGAUCAGCUGAGGAGUCCGGCGAUCCGCAGAGGAACGGAAAGAAGUCGGUGUAAAUUGACACGUUAACUUGAAUGGUUACGAUCAGCUACGAUCGGAGGAUACGACCUUUUAGGAGACGAUCAGGAUGAAGGUGGAAAUUAUACUUUAGACUCCUGGUGUGGAUGUCAGGAGUUUAUUCCUGCAGUUUCUUUUCUACGGACAUGAUUUUUCCUCUUAAAUCCAAGGUUGGUUCAAGAAGAUGAAGAAGGAACAAUUCAACCUCAUCUUUACAAUAAAGUCCCAAACUCAGUUCCUCUUCUGUUCUAGAGUCUAAAGUCAAACUGGAUUCUGGUUCUGGAUCACAUGUUUUAAAGUCCAGACGGUUUGAAGCCAAAAAUGUUCAGUAUUUCCAGAAUUUCACGCCUGAAAACGUCCAGAAACAGUCCAGUGAGUCCACACACAGUGGGUGGGCCCACACUGUGAGACACACACACACACACUCACACACACACACACACACACACACAGGAUCAGCGUCAUGUGAUGUUGUGUUAAUCUCAUGUCUGUGUUGUUUGUCUGGCAGCAGUUGAACCCGACGUGACCUCUGACCUCUGACCUGGUUACAGUGGGGUCAAACAUUGCUGAGUGACUGUACUCUGUGUGUGUGUGUGUGUGUGUGUGUGUGUACUCCCUCAGGCUCUGACUCUUUGUAUAUCAGCAGACCAUCACUCCUCCUCUUCCUCGUUUCCUUCCCUUCCUCUCUCCUUUAUAUCAGCGGUUCUCAACUGGUGGGUCCGGACCCAACAGUGGGUCACAGACAUGUUCUGGUUGGGUCACGAACAGCUGGUCAAAAAAGUAAAUAUUCAAUGUCAUAUUUUUUAGAUACUCAAAAUUUUCUGCACACGAAACUUCGGUAGUUGUCGUCCUCAUGUUGUCCCCUUCAUGUGCUCUGAAAUGAACUUUACUCGAUAAAAUAAAUGGAAUUAUGUAAAAGAUUAGAGUCUUUAAAGGCAGCCCUACGUCUCAUCGUCUCCUUACUAAAACUCCUCCUUUCCUUAACACAUCAUCUCCUCCCGUUAUCAUUUCACGUCUGUUCCAUUCCUCCUUUCUUACCUUCUCGUGUCCUCCUUUUUCUUCCUUUCUCGAACUUUCCUUACCUUCUCUUGUGUUUCCUUUUACCUGUUCUUUUAUUUUCUUCAUCUUCUACUUUCCCCCCUCAGUUUUCCUUUACUUUUCUCUUUUUCUCAUCCUUUUCUUUACUUUAUAAUGUCUCCUAUCCUUUUUCAGCCUUCCUGUCCCUCUUUCUCUUCCCUUUCCUCAUGGAUCUCUCACUUUUUUCCUUUCCUACUCAUCCUUGCUCCCUUACCUUUCCUCCUCAUCUCAUAAACGUUCCCUCUUUCCUUCCAUCCUUUCCUGUUAUUCAUCUCCUCUUCUGCCUCGUUUUUUCCUUCCCUUCCUCCCUCCUCCUCGCUCCUCCCUCCUCCUCCUCAGCUCAUUCAUCUUCUUGGUUCUCCUCUUCGUCCUCCCCUGUAGCUCCUCCUCGGACCUCCCAAAGCCACUCCCCUAGCUCCUCCCCCCUUCUGUCCCGCAGCGUUGCGUGCUAGCUGCUCUGCUCUCCGUGCGGCUGGCUGCUCUGACGUUAACGUGCUGUGACAUGUUACACUGAAACUACUUUAUGGAAUCAAUAUUAAAUUCACAGCCUGUGACACAGAGGGCUAAACACACUCACCGUGUGUGUGUGUCUGUGUGUGUGUGUGUGUGAGUGCACGUGUGUGUGUGGGUCACGGAUCGUUCACGUGUAUGUCUGAGGAGUAAAGUGUGUGUGUUUGCGUGUAAAGAAAUUUUCCUCACCAUCCUGUCAGUAUGUGUGUGUGUGUGUUGCUCUUGAGUAUCUAAACUUGUGAGGACCGUAUGAUGUAAACUCAAACAGAAAAAUGGGGACGAUCUAUGAAAUGAGUCAAAUUAGAACAAAAUUAAACAAUUUUUUUGCUUUUUUGUUUUGGUUUUAUAACCUUUUUCACUCAGUGUAAAUUUUAUUUAUGUUUUUAUUUUGCUUAUCAUUUAGUCUGUCUAGUUAUUUUAGCGUAAAUUACCUUUAUUUUCACGACUCUGUUCUUAAAAAUCUCAAAUCUAAGUGUGAUAACAAACCUGUAGUUGUCAGUUUUUUUAAAUUAAAUCCAUCAGAUGUUGUAUGUGGAGCAGCUUUUAUAAAACAAAAUGAAGCAUAAAAAAUUUUCAUAAAAUUAACAUCAAUAAACACAAUUAAAACCCUGAUUAAUGCAGAAGGUUUAACCUUGAAUAAUAACAUGAAAAUAAAAAACAAAACUCAGCAGGAACUGAGAAAAGCUAUCAUGAGAUUAUCACGAGAUACCAGAAGUAACGCUAAAAUAUUAAAAUUCCAGAGAAAAUAGAAAUUUAAUCAAUUAAUACCCCCUAUAAGAUAAUGAACUACCAAAAAAACAAAAUUACAAAAGAGAAAUAAUUGAAAUUUAAAGAAUAAAAGAAAAACAGACAGGAAAAAAUAAUAGUAUAAAUAAAAAAAAAAACAGACGAAAAACAAAAAAUCAACACAUAAGAAGAAAAUAAAUCACUAGGAGAUCAUCAAUAUCAAAGAAACUAAAUCAACAAUUAAAAUUAAAAAUAUAAAGAAAUUGAAAAGAUUAAAAAAGUUAAGAAAUAUACAGAGUAAUCACUUCUUAAUGUACCACAAAAUAAAAUAAUAAAUAAAUUCAAAUUAUCAAACAAAUAAAUAAUGAAUAAAAAUAAAAGGUAAAACAUUGUUACAUUGGUCAUAUUGACAAUUAAAUUCUUUAUCAGGAAAAAAUAUCUUUUUUUCAACAUUUGAGGUUAUGUGAAUCCUAAAGUUAUUUAACUCGUAUACUGAAUUUUGCUUCUAUGUCAUAAAUUUUGCUAAAAUUUCCUUAAUAUUUUUAAUUGUUUCAACUUUUUUGCAGCUCCUCAUUUUGCUCCACGUGUUCAAAAGUGAAAAUAAACUUUCAGAGCUCCUUUUUUAGUCGACGAGCUCCUCUGACACGUUACUCAUAUAAUUAGAAAUCAUGUUAGUACAAAAAAAAUCAUCUGUAACUUUGUGAAAAAUAUUAUAUUAAAUAUAAAUUCAGUAUGAGGUUAAAAUUUGGGAUCGUACAGGAAUGUCACGAAAUCAGUGUCCUUACAAGUAUAGUAAUAUCUGCACGUGUGUGUGUGUGUGUUAGUGUGUUUGUAGACCUGUCUGUUCAUUCAUGUGUGUGUGUGUGUGUGUGUGUGUGUGUGUGAGAGAGUAUGGAAGUGUGUUUGUGUGCAUAAAGAAGGAAUGUGAGUGUGUGUGUGUAACUGUUCAUUCAAGUAUGUGUGUGUGUGUGUGUGUGUGUGUGUGUGUGUGUGUGUGUGUGUGUGUGUGUGUGUGUGUGUGUGUGGUGUCCUGGGGGUGAAUUAGAGCAGAGGCAGUCAUGUUUGAUAGCAAGGUCUCGACAUCGAUGAAAACACUCUAAAACGGCACGCAAACUCUGAGCAGAAGAAAAAAAACAGCCGGGGGGGAGGAGAGGGGAGAGGGGGGGAGGCAGAGAGAGACGAGGGAGGAGGAAAGGAAAGAGGUAAGGGAGAAGGAAAGGAGAGAAAGGAAGAGAUGUAGGGGAGAGAAGUGAAAAUCAACGAUAGAGCAAAGAGAGGAAUGAGGAGAGAGAUGAAAGGAAGGAGGAGACGAGGGUGAGGAAAAGAGGGAGAGGGUGAAGGGUGCAGGUAAGGGAGGGCUGUGCGAUAGAAAAUUACAGCAAAGAUGAAAAAGGAGGAAAAGAAAGGCGAAAAUGGAAGAGAAGGAGAGAGGGGUAAAAGGAGAUAAGAUGGGGAGGCGGCAGGGGGAGAAGUGGAAAAAGGGGGAGGAAAAAAGGGAGUCUGCCUCUUAAAACCUCAUUAUUUCUCAUGAUUUCUUCCUCAAAGCUGAUUGGCUCCUCUCAGAGAUGUGAGUCUUUGAAAAAAAAAACUCUCAAAUAUAUAAUUUCAUGUUUUUAAAAGGCUCCAGAUGCACCCAGGAUGAAAUCUGACACUCUCAGGGACUACUUUCUGCGGCGGAUGAACCCUUUCAUGGAGUUAAACACGCGCCUUCUUGUUUAAUGAUAAUGACCGCUUUGUAAUUUAAUUUCUUGAAUUAUACUUGCAGAGAAACCCCGGUGCAUUAAUGAAAACAUGACUGAAAUAUUCAUGAUGAAAAUAACUAAAUCAGUGAUUCAGCUUUUUAGAAUAACCUUCAUCAAUAUUGAUGCGUCAUUAGCCUCUGUGCUGAUUUUAUGAAUAAACCCGCUCCGGAUGAGUCCGUCCAUAUGUGCCGUUUAUAUAUAUGAGCUAAAAGCCUAUAUGUUUAGAUUGUGUGUAUGUCAUGUAUAAUUCAUGUGAAGCUUCCUGCUAAAAGAUGAAUAAAAGGCCCCUUUGGCGCGACCUUUGACCUGCAGCCACAGACGGUGAGGUGAAACUUUAAAAUUUAAUGAUGAAACAGGAGCUAAGCUAUCGGACAAAAAUCACAUUUCACGUUCAAUAGAAGGAGUUUUAUUAAAAAAAACACUUUUUUCUCAUUGAAAGGAUGUUUACUGCCGUGUACAUAGUUCAGUUUGUAAACAUGAGGCUAACCCCGAAUUUCCACCGCAUCAGGAACAGCAGCGAUUUUCGCCGUACGCCAAUUCCUACUAGAUCCGUUUGUGAGGCGAAUUUCAUGGUGGAUUACAGACAGCAGGAAUCGUGAGAACCCGCAGAUUCACGUGCCGGAUGUUUUAUUUUGUGUCUGUGCCCGACUUCCUUUCCAGCACGGGUUAAUCUGUGCUGAAUUUAUCCGCCAUGCUCCGGCGUCCAGAAAAAAUAGAACUCGUGAUCAGCUGAGGAGUCCGGCGAUCCGCAGAGGAACGGAAAGAAGUCGGUGUAAAUUGACACGUUAACUUGAAUGGUUAUGAUCAGCUACGAUCGGAGGAUACGACCUUUUAGGAGACGAUCAGGAUGAAGGUGGAAGUUGGGGGUAAGUCUAAAACUCACAUGAGUUUGCAGCUAUAAAACUGCAGCAGGAAAGUGCAUCUCCAGAUUUAGACGAUGCAUCAACUAUUUCAUUUCAACUGUUCACUGUUGAUGCAAGACCAGAAAUAUUUUGAGUUAAAACUAUGAAGAAAAAGUCAGAAGCGGUCUUUAUUUAACCAACAGUUGGUGCAACGCAGUCAGUGCAACAGCUGAAAGUCCUUCUGGAAGUUAGUUCAAGAUGACCCUAACCGGGAAUCCAACUGGAUCUGGAACGGCUCCGCUCUGGACCGGCAGGCAAAUCAGUUACGCAAGCACACAGCGCCCACUGGAUCCGAUCCGCCUCCGCCAUCAGAGGAGAAGUGCUUGCAAGGUUACUGAUAUUUCUCGCAAGACUGGACGAGAUCUCACGAGAUUUUAGGUUUUAGCCUUAACCCUAACCCUCUGUACAAUGACUGACACCAUUCUUGAGUUUACAACAACGGAUUCACAAACAGAUUGUCUCCAGUUGUCAGUCGGUGCAUUGGCCAUAAAUAGUUUGUACUUGACUGCAGUGGGUGCAAAAACAUAAAUCAUUCCUGGUUCAACAAAUCCCAGUGCAAGCAUUCCUCCUAAUUGGGUUUUAAACUCCUUCUGUUUAAUCAUAUCUGGUGCUGGUCGGUGCAUUAACUGCAUUCUUGCUCAAGAACGCUGGCGAGUUGGCGAUCAGAAACAGCUGGUGCAAUAACAGAAGCAGGUUCAUGACUAAAGUGUGUUUUCAAACAGCGGCUGGUGCAUCGACCGGAACUGUUUCUGGUCAGCAGCGGUUGGUGCAACGACUGGAACUGUUUCUGGUUGAACAAAAGCUGGUGCAGUGGCCCAAAUCAGUCUGUGCAAGUUUCAGAAUGACUUAUACUGAAAUCAACAGUUGGUGCAUUUAAAAAAAUUGUGCAACAGCUGAAUAAUGUUUUUUUUUUCAACAUCAGGAGGUGAUAAACCGUCCCUAUAUGAGAGGAACUAUUUCCAGUCGGUGCAACAACAACAUUUACCUGCACAGUGACCGAUACUUUAGGCCGGUGAAUACGAUGUCUUCCAUUUUUCGUGUGUCUGGUCGAUCUUUGUUUGACGACCUUGUUUGUGUUAGAAAUUUGCUGGACUGACGGACUUCUCCUGAACUCCAGAACCAUCUCUCCGAACAAUGGUCGGAACAAUUAGUGGAACUAUUUCUUGUUGAACAUCAGAGGGUUCAGUGACCGCGAACUAUGUUGUCGCUGAAUAUGACUCAGUGGAACUAUUCUUGCUCCGUGACUGGAACGCUUUUAACGAUGCGGUGACUUUGCACGCCUUCCUGAAAUGUCACGGCGUCAGGUUGCUGGAUUUGGUUCCAUUGUUUCUGCCAAGACACCAAAAUAAACGUGUCAUUGACUGUACUUGGACAAAGUCACGCUCCCAGUGCUUUAACCAGUGCUCCCAGUCUUUCUCCCAGUCCAAACACAGCCUGGUUAAUGUCUGUCUCUCUGCGUGACGGUGCAGACUGCGCUGGUUUGUUUAGUGUAGUUGUGGGUCUGACUUAUUCAUGUGUGUGUUUGUUGUUUCUGCACGAACUUCAGUGACUCCCACCAGGACAGCUGAUGCCCAGAGUGUGAAGGAGCUGAUUCAACCAGCUACACACAAACACACAAAUAGUGACACACACACACAUAUAGUGACACACACACAAACACUCAGCGGCAGAGGUGUCACCACUGCAGUGUGUUUGUGUGUGUGUGAGCAUGUGUGUGUUUUUCUGCUUCAGUGAGCUGUAGCUGAAGGCUGAUGUUUACACCGACAGCCUGACAUCAACGACAACACUGCGGCGCAGCAAAGGACACACACACACACACACUGCCACCCACAAACACACACAGAGAUGCACGACACACACCAUGCUUUGUUUCACAGAGUUGAUCUUACACUGAACCAAAGGCUCGGUGUGUUUUGGCGUCUGAUUGGACAGCGGGUUUAGUUCACGUAUAUGAACUCUUCAUCUGUUUGAGGUCAAGAUCAACAUAUGUUGUCAUGCAGGUAACCAUGGCAACGGUGCCGAUGAUCCAGGGCCAGUGAGCUGACGACAAACACACAGACAAGGGCUGGCCUGAAUUUACAAAAAAUAUUUAAACACGUAUUUUAAAGAGUUUUUGGUUUGUCCACAUGCGUACGGAGGGUGUCUAAGUCUGGGGUGGGGAGAGUGCACCUUUUUAAUGUCCAAACAUCCCAUGCCAAGGUCAAGAGAGCAGCAGCAAAGACCCCUGGGUAACAAAACAGAGAGGCGUCAACACCAGUAAAAGCAGGAGGCAGGGAGAGCAGCAGCAAACACCCCCAAUGACUCUCACUGACACUCAUUUUUUUGUGUUUAAUUUGUAAUAAAUGAGUUUAAACAUUGCCAAACGAGCAAAAUACAGAUACAGUUCUCUAAAACAUUUGAUUGUACACUUUGUAAGGUCUGUCCACCAGAUUGAAAAGAUGCAAUUCUUAAAAUUCUUGUUUUUUGAAUGGGGUUUGGUUGGGUCCAUAAAUGAGUUCAAACAUUGCCAAUCAAGCAAAAUACAGAUACAGAUUUGUAGAACAUUUGAUUGUACACUUUGUAAGGUCUGUCCGCAAGAUUACAAAGAUGCAAUUCUUAAAAUGCUUGUUUUUUUGAAUGAGGUUUGGUUGGGUCCAUUUUGAACAGCAAGGCGCACCUUUCGCACCUUAUUGUCUGAAAACAGUCCAUUUCUGCACAGUCUUUCUUUCCAGAUAGGAAAGCUUUUCUGCACCUGAUCCCUCCUCUCC
This 7868-nucleotide long non-coding RNA is filed under the name Xyrichtys novacula (pearly razorfish). Lineage: Eukaryota; Metazoa; Chordata; Actinopteri; Labriformes; Labridae. The record is from RNAcentral.